AACGAACGCUGGCGGCAUGCCUAACACAUGCAAGUCGAACGAGACCGUCGGGUCUAGUUUCUCGCGUGUGGGUAACGCGGUGGAACCUGGCCUUAUGAUCGGAAUAAGUCCCCGACAGGGGUGCUAAUACCGGCUAAGGUCUUCGGACAAAAGAUUUAUGGCCCUGGGGUGUGCUGGCGUUGGAUGAGCUAGUUGGUAGGGUAGAAGGAUACCAAGUCGACGAUCCAUAGCUUGUAUGAGAGGAUGAUCAGCCACACUGGGACUGAGACACGGCGCAGACUCCUACGGGAGGCAGCAGUGGGGAGUAUGGGGCAGUGGCCGAACGCCUGAUCCAGCAAUGCCGCGUGAGUGAUCAAGGCCCUAGGGUUGUAAAGCUAUCUUAUUCGGGAUGAUAAUGAGAGUACCGGAAGAAUAAGCCCCGGCAACCUCCGU
RNAcentral lists this ribosomal RNA (432 nucleotides) under uncultured bacterium. Its description in RNAcentral is "partial 16S ribosomal RNA". It matches the Rfam family "Bacterial small subunit ribosomal RNA", at positions 29 to 506 of the family's 1533-position model. The record is from RNAcentral.